Molecule: long non-coding RNA, 481 nt
Organism: Pistacia vera
Lineage: Eukaryota; Viridiplantae; Streptophyta; Magnoliopsida; Sapindales; Anacardiaceae
Exons: 5
Source: RefSeq, a predicted model, not a curated record
GAUAAUUUAGCAACUAAUUCGAGCAUCGGAUUUGGUCUUUCAGUUUCUAGAAAUUGAAUCAUCAAUUAUUUAAUUUUAUCAGUGACAAACAGCGCAUUUGUUAAUUGGCAAAGAUGACUAAAAGUUCCUUCCAGAUAAAGCAUGAUUUUCGAAGCCACCAGAUUUGAAAAAGCAAGAGCUGGCAAAGCGGUACAAGCUUUGUCAUUUUUUGGCUACAAUAUGAAUAGAAUUUUUCAAGGAUAUGUAUCAUCAUUAAUGGUACUUAUCAUACUGUGAUAGUGAUACAAUUACUCAAAGAGGACAAAUGCUAUUGAGGAUUUGACUGAAGCCGUAGAGGUUGGCAAUAAACAAGAUAUUGAAAAAUUCAGUAAACGGAUUGUGAAGGUGACAAAGCAGCGCAAUGAAGACUGCAAAAGACUUCUAAGACUAACGGGAGUGAUUGUAGUUGAUUGCCCUACAAUGGAAAGUAAGCCAGGGGGAG